Molecule: long non-coding RNA, 844 nt
Organism: Carassius carassius (crucian carp)
Lineage: Eukaryota; Metazoa; Chordata; Actinopteri; Cypriniformes; Cyprinidae
Exons: 3
Source: RefSeq, a predicted model, not a curated record
UCUUUUGCCGCAUCCUCCUGCGGCAAUUCCUCUGAACGUUUGGGGCAAAGAAUCCUUGGGACAGAGUCAAUAUCUGAAUAUGGACUAUCUACGGCAUCUGGUUUGUGCCGUUCAGCAGCUGUGGAAGUGCCAGGUUUUCCUCUGAUUAUAACGGAUGCAUCUAGUCCAUUGGUCAAAAGUAAGCUUGAUGAUAUGGACUGUGUAGUAGAUGUCUGGCAAGCAGGACUUUUUGGUGCCUUGUCUUCUGUGAUAGGCAUGUGGACAUCCCGAAUUACAGUCAAUGGAGGUUCGCUAUUUAACCGCUGGGCAGUUUUUCAAACUGAUGACCUCCUUCAAAAGGAAAAGUGGCUUUUGCCGGGACCCAAGCUUGGUCUAUGAUCUCCCCGAACAUCCUGACGAAAUAGAGACGGCAUGGCCGACGACUGGGGUCUGCAAGAAAAUGCCAUUAUUCUGUGAUAAUAUGACAACAAUGAGUUCUAAGAAUGGUUUUAACAUAGAAGACAUUUUGGUUUCCAUGAUAAUAAUGCUAAAUAUCUUGUUACAUGCUAAAUAGAAAUAGAAAUUAGAACAUGUGCAUUUAAUUUCUUGAACACGGCAAAAAGAAAAUAUCUACACUGUGUGUCAUCUGUCUUGCAAAAUACAUGUGGAAGAACUUCUAUUGCUUUUAGGCCAAAAUCGGUCUGCAGACACUCUAAAUUCUAAGUAAAAGUUGAACAAGUGCAUAAAUAACCAUAUCAUGUCAAUAAAAUGUCUCAUUAUGAAUGUCAUCUCACCCAUGUCAAAUUAGGCAUCCACUAUGAAUAGUCAUACAAAAGGGGUUAAAACAAAAGAUAUCACCUUUCAU